RNAcentral lists this long non-coding RNA (385 nucleotides) under Eucalyptus grandis. RNAcentral's name for it is "long non-coding RNA (EGRA_LNC000454)". Lineage: Eukaryota; Viridiplantae; Streptophyta; Magnoliopsida; Myrtales; Myrtaceae. The record is from RNAcentral.
CUGAUGCUGUUUUUAAAAACUCUCACCAUUGGCGAGCUCCUUCUCCUUAGCUUCAAGAGUGGGAGCGAAGUUGAGGGGGUUGAAGAUGCCACCGGGGUAGCCCACUUCAUUAGGGGGCAAGCUGUACUGCUUGAAGAUCGGGUCCUGGUUGACGCUCCCCGGGUUCUUUAUGUCCUGCCAUCUCCGGAUCUCGACGUAGUGGAACAGGAUGAACUCGAUCACAAACAGGGUUGAGGAGGAUGCAAAGUACUCAGCCUUCCCAGCGUCGUACCAGGCGGGCACGUUGAUGAUGCCGAUCUUGGUGAAGACUUCCGGGAGCAGCAUCCCUGCAACACCGAGCAUUGCCCACCGGCCGUUGACAAGCUCCGCUUGGACAAACCAUCUC